UCGGGAAUUUUGCACAAUGGCCGAAAGGCUGAUGCAGCAACGCCGCGUGAGUGAAGAAGGCCUUCGGGUUGUAAAGCUCUGUUGCCUGUGACGAACGGCACGCUCAGGAAAUGGGGCGUGUUUGACGGUAGCGGGAGAGGAAGCCCCGGCUAACUACGUGCCAGCAGCCGCGGUAAU
Molecule: ribosomal RNA, 177 nt
Filed under: uncultured bacterium
Lineage: Bacteria
Description: partial 16S ribosomal RNA
Rfam family: Bacterial small subunit ribosomal RNA
Source: RNAcentral